UGUUAUUUCAAAAGGCAAUCAAUGACUAAGUAAUCAUCUUCAUAUUGCUAUUCUAUUCACUCGAAUUAUUUCAAGCAUUGUUUCAGCAAUAUAAGGGGUCAUCUUAAGAUCCAUGGAUUCUUUAUUUUGCAUAGUGAACUUCUCUUUAAAAGACAACAAUCCUCAGAAAUCAUUCAGAAAUCAAACAAAUAUAUACUUCUCAUAUCCAACACAAGAAAUCAAAUACUUCCCUCUACGUAUGAAUAUUCUGCACUGGCAGAGUUUUAAGGAAUGGGCUCUGACAAAAGCAUCUUUCACCACACAUAGGAUUCCUCCAGCAUGGCGGCAACAAAACGAAAUAAUCAAAACUAAAUUUGCACCAUUUAUUUCCAUAUUUAGAAUGGAGCAGUUGGUUAUAUGCUUAACUGCUCCCAAUGUCGAGGUACAUGGACUUGUGUGUAGGAAUUGGGUGUGUAUAUACGUUGGAUCCUGCUGAUUCCCCAAAAAUAUCUACUAGUGACAGCCUAUGCAAAUGGCAGUGUCAAACGCACAAAAGCUAGAAACAUUUAAUACAACUCGCUCAAGUUACCCACAUUAAUUGGCUUCACUUUCGUAACAUAAGUUCAGCUCAGUUAUCCCACUGCAUUGGAUGACUUCCCACAACUAAAAAAUACUACAAGAACAGGUAUCUAACGUAGAGAUAGAUGCCUCAACUUACCAUAGUCACUGAACCAACAUGCCAAUGUAAAUAUGGAAAGCCAUUAUAUAUAAUGCAAUGCAACCAAAUCCAUUCUUAGCUCCUAAAAGAAAGAUUGGACAAACCAACCAAAAUGAAUGAUUAAGGAGCCUAUUCUUAAUUUUUAUAAGAAGGCAAUAACACAUUAAAUUCAGGCUCCAGCACUAGAAAGAUUGACAUUCUUAUGCACCUCUCAUCAUGUCUUCAAGAAUAUUGCGCAGAAUCUCAUCUUCACACCUUCCAUCUCUUAAAGCACUUUGUUUCCCAUCAAAAGUUCAGGUCAAGCAUGUCAUCAGAACACGAUAAUAUGUACAUCAAAAUCCAAUAAAAACCAAACCUCCAAUAACCCAGUGCCGAGAUAGCCGAUCAAUAAAUAUUGCCAUUAAACUUUCAAAGAGAAAGCAAGCAAAAUCUCCAACAACAGUCUUACUUGUUUCGUUGCACAAAUUGUCAUGUUAUUUUAUCCUUUCGCUCUACUUAUCCCUUGCCUCAAACUCACAUGUAUCUGAGUACUAAUUUUACAUCAUAAAUGAGAAUUAUAUAUGAAAUAGAAGAGCAUUUCGCGAUUAAUCAGAUCAAACUUGUAGUAACAACAAACAUCAUUUCUAUUUAGCCAAUAAUUCCUACUAUGAUAAGGAUUUGCAGAGAUACAGAGAGGGGGGGGCGGCUUAUAUCACCUUUUUCACGGAAGCGGACCACGAGAGAGUAAGCCCCAGGAAGAUGAUGAAGAAGAAGGGGCCCCAGAGAUCCCAAUCCCUCAGCGCCUUCCCCGGAUCCUCGCGAAAGGGGUUGGGGAACACCACGAGCUUGAGAUUGCUCACGAUCCGAGACAGAUCCCGCUUCACCGUGUCCCAUACGGGCUCCGUGAGCGUGUUCGGCGCCGAUCCGAAGCCAUCGGCGCCGAUCCCGCCCUGGAGCCUCCCCCCGGGGGGGACGGCGGCGGCGGCGGAGGCGACGUUGACCCCGAGCGACGGCGGCGGCAGCGGCGGAGCUCCGGCGGUGGCGGGCUUGGCGGGGAGGAAGGGGGGAGGAGCGGGGGAGGAGGAGACGGGGAUGGAGGCGCGGGGAGGGGAGGGGGGCCGCGCGGGGAGGACGGUGGCGGAAGGGGCGGCGUUGAUGAGGCUCUCGAUCUCGUCGAUGUCGGAUUGGGAGGAGGGGUGGAGGGGGAUGGUGUCGCCGUGGGACAUCGUCGUCGGCGGUGGCGGAGCUAGGGUUCCGGCGAGGGAUCUAGGGUUCCGGCGGGGCGGGGGGAAGGAGAUCUGAGCGAGAAGGGAGGUGAGUUCGAAGAGCGUCGGAGUUAGAGAGAGAAAAGAUUCGGUAUUUUUUGCGCCGAGAUGCGUGAAAAUAUUAAAAAGAAAAAUAGGUAAAUUACACUUUUGUCCUCAAACUAUGGUGUCCUCGACACUUCAGUUUUUAAACUUUAAUAAAUUAUAAUAAUUUUUUGCUCAAAUUAUAAAAUAUGUGACACUUUUUUAUUUUAUUAUAAUUAAGUUCUAUAACUUAAUAUUUUUGACUAACUGGUGAUAAAUCACUAAUAUCCAAGUAAUAAAAUUGUAAUAUUUUAAUUAUUAUUGCAUCGAUCAUGUAAAAUAUUAUUAUAAUUUUACGAGAAUUAAAAUAUCACAUAUCUUAUAGUUUGAAUUAGAAAUUAUAACUAAUUAAAGUUUAAGUAUUACAGUGUUACGCAUCUCAUUGUUUAAGGAUCAAAAGUGUAAUUUACUCAAUAAAAAAAAAUAAAAUUUUUUUUAUAAGGAGAAGUAGACUUUCGACAAACUAAAAUUCGAAUCAAAAUUAUUUUUCAUACGUUGUUUGUUAAUAUAGCUGCAGAGCUGAAGUUCUCCUAAAUCUCUUCUUUGUUUGGUAGGAAGCGAAUGGCAUAAAACUUGAAGGUGCGAAAGAUGGAUUAAUUUUUUAAUUUUUCUCACUUUUUUUUGUAAUUAACUUCACCUACAAUAUUCUUAGAGAGUUUGAAGGUGCGAAAGAUGGAUUAAUUUUUUAAUUUUUCUCACUUUUUUUUGUAAUUAACUUCACCUACAAUAUUCUUAGAGAGUUUGAAUUUCAAUCGAAAAAAAAAAAAAGUAAUAGUGAAUCAAACAAUAAAAAUAAACAUUUACUGUCGAAAAACUACUUCGCUCCUCUUCACUUUUCCGGAAAGCAAACACACACAUUCGAUUUGAUGAUUGACAUUCCUUAAAUUUUUAUUGAGAGAAUUAUUUUCUAUCUCAUCAACUCACCAAAAAAAUAAAUAGUCAAAAAUUAACAACCAUAUAAAAACAUAGAAUAGGUUUCUAAAAUUCUAGAUUGAAAUUGUAGAUCUUGUUUUUGAUAGUUAAAAAAAAAAUAUUCUAUCAAAAGUUCAAUCAAGUUUAAUUAUUUUACACUAAAAAAUUAUUGAAUUUUAUAUUCAAGAUUUUUUUUAUUUUUUAAAAUAUAAAUUUAAAUUAAAUGGAAGAAAAUAAAAUUAAAUAAAAUUUGGAGCCCGGUCAAAUUCUCCGACUCUGCUACUAUAUUAAAGUAAGUACAACAAUCAUAUUUUCGCAAACAACUUAAAUCGUCAGGAACGAUAUUUUUAAAAUUUAUAUUCAACAAUCGGGAGUCUCUUUUGUUCCCUCAUUGGGGAAUGGUUGUUUUGCUCUAUCUUAUGAAAUGGAUAACACUUUUCUUAACAGUAGUUUAAUGGAUUUGCAGGGGUAGAUGCAACAGUAGUUUGUGAGAAGCUGGGGUUCAAUUUAGGGCAUGUUUGUUUCAUCGAAAUUGGACUUUAGGUUGAAAUGGACUUUGGAUUGAACUAGAGUUUGGUGAAAACUACUUCUUUCCCGCUAUUUGUUUCGUAGUUAUGAAAGUGAAGUUUCAUCAAUUCUGCUGUUUGUUUGAUAGAAAGUAUAUAAUAUAAAACUAUAAUUUAUAUAUAAAUAAUAAAUAUUUUAAUAAAUAUAUUUUUAUAUAAUUAAAAUUUAAUUUAAAAUAAUUAAAUUAUUUUUUAUACAUAAAUUAUAAUAAUACAAUAAUAAAAUUAUAAAGUAAAAAAAAAUUAAUACUUAAUUAAUCAAUUUUUAUCAUAUUUCAAAACUUACAAACUAAAUAAAGAAAAUAUUAAAACUUAACUAAAUAAUUUUUAUCAUAUUUUAGAUAUAUUAAUUGAAUAAAAAAAUAAUUAGUAACAUAAUUAAAUAUAUUUAAAUAUAACUAGCUUUAUUUAUUAUAUAUAUAUUUUUUUCACCUUUCUUCACCGUAAUUGACUUCGGCCCACAAUGGGAUGAAGUCAAUUACGUCGUUGGAGAUUAACUCGAGUUUCGACCGUAAUUUUUUUACGGCGAACCAAACAACGAAAAUAGUCGUUUAGGACGAAAACGACUUCCUUCCUCUCCACUUCCACUCCACUUCCACCCAAACAAACAUGCCCUUAAAAGUUGAAGGAGUUGGCUCAUUUAUUUUCAAGCUUGAACUUCUUUUCUUGAAAAAUUUUCUCAUAGGUAAAAUAUACUAUAUACGAUCCGAUCCAAGUCACUUUUUCAGAUUAAAAUAAAUAAUCUCGUAGGUGAAAUAUACUAUCACAAAUCAUGGCACCCGAGAUCUUACAAAGUGGUAAAAUCAAUCUAGUAACUCUCAAUUACAAAAAGAUCACAAAACAAUAUCCUUGCAUCGAAUAAGUUAUCAAUGAAUAGUUUGUUCAGACACUUAAAACAAGCCCUUCGUCAUGUUUAGGUACAUGAAUAUUUUAUUCAAUAUAUCCUCUUAAUUUACUCAAAAAAAAUUAUAUAUUUAGAACAACUAAAAGUGUGAUCAAAUAUUUAGAAUGGAAUAUCAUAUUCGGCCUACAAAUCAUUUUUUCUGAAUAAGCUAAAUCACCUCGUAGAUAAAAUAAGCUAUCCUACCAAAGGAGAAAAAAAAUCAAGCUCCCUACUUAUAAUCAUACUAGAAAAUUCUUUUGGUGAAAAAAAAAAUUCUUCGAUAACUUAUUCCGACAUCCAAACAGAGCAGGGAACAUUACAUUUCUGCAGAGAUCUCUUUUUUCUGCUAAAUAUACUGGCCAUCUGAAUCUCUUGAGAAGAAAAGAUCCAGUACAUCUGGAUAAACAAACAUUACUAUACCCAUGCAAAACUACUGAAUAAAAUCUUAUUUAACUCAAGAGGCUAAUUAAAUUAAAACAGAAACAUUAUAUAAGUAAUGAAACAUGUUUCACAAGUUACAAUUGAAGAACCAGAAAUGUUAUAGCUAACCUUUAGCAGCAAGAGUUUUAAGAGUUUACAGAAAUAAGCUUUCCAGAAGCAAAUUGAUGUUUACAAAGCAUUUUUCUUGUUCUUCAUCAAAGAAACAGCCUGAAUCUUUGAGUCAAUACAAUGGAUCUGUCAGAUAAGUAAUCGAAUCGGCACUGUUAAUACCGCUUACCGUUUCAUAAUUCUUAGCUGUAGGAACCACACCAACAUAGCUGAACUGAACACAUCAACACUUCACCAUUUGGUGAAAAGAACGAAGACGCAAUGUUUACGAAUGAAUCAAUAAAAGCGGAUUAUAAAUGAGAAAACAGCAACAUGUCGUUCCAAUUGCGACAUCUAUACACCCAUGAGAAACGCUCACCCUUUUCUUUUUUUUUCAUUUUUUCGUUUUUCGCUUUUGCCUUCCCACGCACGCCCUGAUACUAAACACACUUUGCGGUCUAAACAACAACAUGAAGAAGAAAACAAAGAAAACAAACAAAAUGAAUAAUCAACCUAUCGAAACUAAACCAUCUCUUAUGCAACUCCCAACUACAAAAACCAUGUAAUUCACAUGUUCUUAUUUCUCCUCACUUGCAAUCCAAGCCACAAACCUCUAGCACGGGCCCGUCGAACUUACCCACGAAGGGGUUCACUCGAACCCACAAAAGCGAACAAAUCGAUGCGAGAAGUGUAGACCACACCACAACGAUUGUGGGGACCCUAUCUUGCUUACCCAUCAUCCCUUUGAGGAAAGGGUAAAGAUGUAAAAUGACCCAGAAGGCGAAGAAUAGCUUACCGAAAAGCGGGCCCCAGGAUUGAUAACCUGUAGUAAUCGCAUUCGAAAUUCCCGAAACAACUCCAAUAAUGUUGAGUAUGAGAAGAGUCAUAGGAGGGAUUAGCAAGGAAGUCCAUUUGAAGAUGUAGAGUUCAGAGAAGUCGCCGUCGUCCCCUCCUUUGGAAGUGACGGUGAAGUUGGUUUCGAUGCCGGCGAGGACUUUGAGCAGGCCCUGGAAGAGGGCGAAGAGGUGGGAGGAGACACCACCGAUUACCCAGAAUUGUUCGUUUCUCCACCAGUCAUCGAUGCCCACCUUGCCCCAUCGCAUCUCAAGGAUGCUGGUCGCGGCAAUCGAUACAAAGAGGGCCAUGAAUACUAUGCUCGCAUAGAUGCUCAUCUGAAAUGAAAAAGGAAAGACAGGAAGGUCAUGCGAGAGUAGACAUUAAUAUUACAAAUAUUUUGAUUAGAAACUUCGACUUUUGUCCCAUUCUUACAGUUUUACAACACCGAAGUUUCAUCAAAAGAUGAUAAAAGAGAAACUUUUCACACCCAAAAAAACAAAACAAAACAAAACAAAACAAAAAACUGAGUUUGAAAUUUUCGAAAAAUCUGCGACCAACAGAUAAAUUCCCUGAAAAAGUUGAUUUUAGUAGCGUGAAAUUGGUUUUUUUUCCCGCAAAAUGGUGAAGUUUAUGCAUGGUUUGGAUUGAGCACCUCGGGCACGAUGAAUUUCCCAGUCAGAAGGCAGAUUGCUGGCAAGCUACAGUACGCAAUCAACGGAAUCGAAGUCCACGGAUAGACGACAGAGUUAAUAUAAGAAAAUCGCUCCAACCACUUCAAACCACCUCUAUAGCCAUACCAUAUUGGGCAAUGCUUGCUUAAGAAAAUCUCCACGGAUCCGAGGGCCCAUCGCAGAACUUGAUGAAGACGAUCAGAAAGGUUAAUAGGAGCAGAACCCUUAAAAGCCGGUCUUUUCGGUAUACAAUAAACUGACCGCCAACCAUGGCAAUGCAUUUUGAAACCGGUUAGAAUGUCCUCAGUGACUGAUCCAUAUAUCCACCCAACCUGGAUAUAAACAGAAAAAUUAGAGCUAAAGAAGCUUGAAUAAUCAAUCAUCAUCUACAUGAUCCCCCCAAAAUCUGAAUUUUCAUUUUUUCCCCCCUUCAAAGACUUAAUUCUAUCGAAUAUGUACAACGUAUUUAGAAAAGAUGAGAGUCUCUGAAGAACUCCUUGAAAACAGACCAACUUUUCUUGUAUUUGAAUGACAACCCAACGCAAUAUUAGAGCAUUUUUCUAAGAAGCUGCACUGCAGGGGGAAGUAUGGAAAUUCAGAACUUACGAGGAUUUAUACGAUAAUAGAUGAUUUGGUGAGAAUAUAUAUGUAAAUAAUUUUGACAAAACAAACCUCUUUUCCCCAUUCAGUCUUAUCUUCAUAGCCGCAACUUAUUACAUGCACAGCCUCACUAAGACAUUCGGUGAGAUUGGUUUUAACUAUUCCACCAUUCUCUCUUAGAGUGGAAGCCACAAAGACGGGUGAUUGCCCAAAUUUCUUCUCAAGCUUUUCGCGAGGAACUAAGGGUGAACUAUCGCCUUCUUUUCCUGCAAAAUAUGGUGUUUACUUUAGCAAUCUUGUUUACGACAACAAGCCAAGAAAAUAUUAAAAGUUACAGACCUUAUCAGAACUAUAAUGCAUUUUGAAAUGGGUAUUUAAACUUCAAAAAAAUUUGAUUUUGCUAAACUUUUCGGUGCUUCUAAUUCACCAAAUUCUGAUAAGUUUUGUCAGAAAAUAGUUUUCCAUCAGAAGACUCGCAGAAUAUUCUGCCGGCUGAAAAGUAUUUUAUCAAAGUUGUUGCAGUAAGGCUAAGUAAUAAAACCAAAACUUCUGAAGUUCAGUUACCUAUUUCAAAAUGCACUACAGUUCAGGUAAGGUUAUAUAUUUUAAACCCCCCCAAAAAAAGAAAAGAAAAAAGAUGUUUGUGUAUGGCUCACCGUUAACUUCCUCUUGAAUAGUUUCAAGCGCGUGUAUUUGAGUAGAAGCCUCCCGAUGCUUCGAUUUCUUCUUAUUCUUCGCCUGAUUCCGAUUAGCUUUUUUAUUUUUCCUUCUCGAUCCACCACAUAAGCAGCACCAUCUUGGCCAACAGUUGCAAGUUUUACCAGGAGGUUUCUCAUUAACCGGAGCAUCAAAUCCAUAUAAAGCUUGUCUUCUGAAAACACAUCCCGUCCCGACAUAGAUCGGUCCUUGUAUCCCAUCAAGACCUUUCAUGUUAAUCUGUUUCAUAAAGAGGAAGAUUAUAGUUGACUUAUAUCAAAAGCAUCCACAUUUAAUAAAGAGAUACAUUUAUAUCCCCGCAAAAUUUAUCUAUUUUCAUAUGUAUUACUGCAAAAUCUGAAUUUUCCUAUGCCCUAAAAACCUUUUUUUUCUAAUAUAUCUACAUGGUACUUACAAAAAAUCCCCUCAAUUUUUUUUUUUUUAAAGUUUCUAAUACAAAAUCAUCUUCUUCCCAUGAAUUGGAUGACCCCCAACCUAAAGAUAAGGGGUUUUUUGUGUAAGAAAAUACGUAAUUGAGGGUAUGUUAAAAGAUUCAGAUUUUUAUAGGCGGUCUAGAUGUAUGCAGAUUAUUUUGCUAAGGGAUAUAUAUUGCAAAAGCCCCUAGUAGCAAAUCAACGUAAGAACAGAAAUUCUCUUAAAUAAAGUGAAGAAGCACUUGGUCAUACAUCAAAAAACACGACGUUGCGAUUUGAAUAUCUGUCGUGCCGGUCAAUACCGUCGAAUCUUUGAGGAAAUUGCACAUAACAGAUUUUCUUUCCCGACACUGGAUCCAUCAAAAAGCACAUAGCUUCUCGGAGAGCUUUGCUGUUGUUUAUGUAGUGGUCACAGUCGACGUUCAAAACGAAAGGAGCAUUAGAUAUAACAGCUGAAACCCGCACCUGAAAUCAACUUGAACUAGUCAGAAAAAGCAAAUGUUUGAAUAAACUAACUGAAAUAUCCCCACAAUAAUCAUAAAAAAUCGAGAGAUAUUAGAUUAAGUUUGAGGUGAAAAAAUAAAAUAUUACCAAAGCAUUCAUGGCACCAGCUUUUUUAUGGUGAUUAUACCCUGGUCUUUUCUCCCGUGAGACAUAAACCAAGCGCGGGAGCUCACAUCCGGCCUCAUCAACUAUAUCAUUGUGUCCCAAAAGGACCUGACGAAAGCAAACAACAAUGCUAACUAUGUCAAGCUGAUAUUCAGCCUGUUAACUAAUAUAGAUUCAAGUUCAACGGUAAAGCAAAUUUCAGAAGCACAAAUAAGAUAGUACCAACCUGAAUCAUCCCCGGAUGGUCCCUUACAUUAUUUCCGGGCCAAGGAGUUCCAUCCUGCAACGACCACCCUUCUUCAGGAACCUUUUGGGCCAUGGCAACUAAUCCAUUAAUUCGCACUUUGAAUUCUUCAUACUCUCGCUGCAUGUGAGAACAAAAACAAGAACUUGAGAUCUAUCCCAGUAAAGAUUGGAAAUUGCAGAUAUCUCCGUGCAAGGUUUAAAUUUGCCACUCAUCAAAUCCCUUCAAGAAAAAGGGUUUAAGAUUUUGUGGUAGAAUGGUCACAGGAAAAAACUCGAAGGGUCAACUAACAGAAAGGGAUUGGUUUGCAAACUUUUGACAAUUCAAAGGGGCGAAGCAAAUUGGAGAGUCUAGAACUCUGCAGAGAGAUGUAAGCAAUUUUCCUUAAAAAAACUGUGGUUUAAGUGAUGAAACCUUCAUUGCACGCCGCUCCCGCACAAAAUCCGGAUGGACUUUAUCCUUCAGAUAAUCAAUCUUCUGGGCGAAGUACCAUUCAGGAGCACGAGGUUCAAUAUUGAACUUUUUACAGAAUGGCACCCAUUUUCUUGCGAACUCAGAGGUUUCAGAAAGUGCUUCAAAGGUUAGCAUAGAAGCACCAUCAUCCGACACAUAGCAGGAAACCUUCUCAACAGGGUAAUCCACAGCGAGAAUGGAUAGAACUGUAUUUGCAGUGAUUAGCGGAGGUUCUUUCAUAGGAUCUACAGUACUAACAAAUAUAUCAAUAUCAGCUAGUUCCGAUGGCUUUCCUUCCUUCUCAUACCUGAGACCAAAUUAGUACAAAAAGGAGACAGAAAUUAGCCAAUACACAGACAAAAUAGAUGCUCCACAAUAGCCUAAAAAUUAAAAUGGGUCCCUCAAAAGUGCUGUUUCCUACAAAAUGCCUUAUUUGUUAGCGAGUAACCAAUGCACGAGAGGGAGCAUGGUUUCUUAUUAGAAAAAGUUUCUUAAAAGGGGCAUUUGUUGCAAGUAUAAGGGCAUAUAAGAAAGAAACUAAGUUUCCCGAUUUGCAUAUAUAUGCAAAUAGAUAAUUGUGCAGCAGUAUAUAUGUAGAUGCCGCAAAAGAAAAGUACCUUAGUGACAAACGGUCCAAAUAUGUCUCUCGCUCUAUAGGGCACCAUUUAGGGAAUUGGUCGAGAAUCCACGAAACAGCGAACCAAAUUUCACAUAUAACUGAGGUCAGCCACAGGCCAUACGCAUCUGGGACUGGAUUCAAAAGUCUAUAGUGGAAAAAGAAGCCGAGUAUCACAAGCCUCAGCAAUAUAACUAUCCUGUAUGGAUUUAUCUUGCUAGAGGCAAGUGGUAGCUUCCUUGACAAUUGGUGCCUGCUCUCAUCAGACCUGCAAACAAAAGUUGGCGCAAGUUCGAAAAAAAAGAAAAAUGCCGAAUUAGCAGUUGCUUAAAAAGAAUACAAGCCUACAAUCAACUGUAUUGUACAAAUUUUCAAGCUAAACUUUUUUGCAUACCAAAUAUGUUGAGAAGAGAACCAUUCAAUAUAGAAAAAGAGCCAUGAGUCAAUUGCAAAGUUUUGGAGUUUUUUUUUAAUACUUCAGUUGCACAGAAAUGUUCACUGGUUUAAUGUAUUAGAAGACUACAAUUCGGAUAAAAAACUAACAGGCAAGACCUUGGAAUAUGAAAAUUCAUAUAUACCCAUAUUCAAUUUACAAGAUUAGUGUGGAUACAUCAAUUACUUAAACAAAACCAUGCCCUACAAUGUCAUGCUCUAGAGAAAAAAAACAUCACACUUUGUUUUAUUAGCAGGAUAAGUGUAACCUCAUUUUGUUUUUUUGGGCUGCUCACUAUGCUUCUAAAUCAUAUGAUAUAUUCCAAAAAAAAAAGAAAAAUACAUCAUUUAUAUCAUUGAUGUUAUUUCCUAUUUGUGAUAUUAAUGUGUAACACCUUGCUAUAUGGAUGACAACAAAUCAUUUAUUCAGAAAGAAAUGGAAAACACCACCACAACAUGGUGACCAUAUAAAAAAUUACUAACAUGUAGGGAAACAAAGAAUACAAGUAAACAUACUAUAUUGUAGCAAUGGAUGACAGAAAAGUUAAUAAUUAGUGCAAAAAGGGACUAAAAAUACUCAAGAGAGAUUCUACUAUGGCUACAAACUUACAUAGGCAAAUCAGGAUUUUCCAAUUCAUAUCUUUCAUAGCCUCCACCGUCUCCAAAGCCGGAUUGAGCCUUGUGGAUCUUCUCCACCUGCUUUCUUUUCCAUUCGUCCAUUCGAUCCUUCCAUGCAACAGAUCCAUAGCCAUAAACUGAUAUGUCCUUGUUAGGGUUUAUUGGUCUCGAUUGUGCUGCAAUUUUUUUUUAACCAAAUUAAAAGUUACUGAAAUCUUUUAGUAACUGAUAACUAUAAGGAACCAAAGUGAAUAGACUUACAAUAACUAGAAGACACUAGUUGUCCUCCAUAACUCAUAUGCGGAGAAACAAUGAGAGCAUGGUUAUCCAAAGAAAUGCCGCCAAACUGCAAAAAUGAAAUAUGUGUUACUUAUAGAGCAUAAAUCAAAACAAAAUCGUGAAUCAUAAGUCCACAUUUUUAACCACCCACAUGCAUACAACCACUAUAAAUCUUUGUUUGUUUUUGGUUAUUUAUAGUUAGUGUAACUUACCUCGUCACCAUAAGUCAAUAGUGGGAUGUUUUCACCAGUAAAAGGCACGCUACGAGCCACAAAGCCCGACCCACUACUAGAACUCUCUCCAACACUAAAUUGUCUGUGAAGCUUCAAAUCAGAUAAUCCGAUUUUGUUAUUCCAAUCAAUACCAUCAAAACUAAAUUCUUUAUAAAUAUCCUCAUCGCCAUCUUCUUCCUCGUCACCCUCUACUCUUGGACUACCUGCAGCAUACCAAAUCUUCAGCACAUUUCACCACAGUAGUCGAAGUUCACCAUUCAGGAUAAGUUCGAUAGUACUAAAAGUUCAAAAUUCAGUUAAAUCUGGAAGAAUUUUGUACACAAAACAACGAUAUAUACCAUUGGAAUUAUAUAAAAGUAAACAUCUUAUCGCCUAAUUUAGCCAUUUUUUUCUGGUUUGCUGUCAACAUCACACAGAGGAGAAUAAUGUACAAAACUUUUGGACCGACCCAAAGAUCAUGAAGUAUUCAUUUAAAAAAACUAGCUUUUGGGCAUCCUACUCUUCCUUGAAAGAUCAAAAUGGAAGAGAAAAAAAAGAAGAAUAAGAAGAAAAGAUUAUGAAAGAUGAACCUUUUUGACGCUUGUAUCGCGUCUUGCAUUGAGGGCAAGCUUGAGUGCCCUCCCUCCUCUCAUAUUCAUAGCAAGUCCUGCAUACAGGGAAUGCACACUCAUUGCAAGCAACAAAGGGCUCAUUCUCCUCCCGAAGAAUCUCGAUCUCGUCCCCGCAUAUUUUGCAGAUCCGGCCGCUUCGAUCUUGAGAGGAUUUGUUCUGUAAGAAUCCAAGGAUGGCAAUAAUCAACUUAAAUUAUACUAUUUACAUGGCAAUAACACAGCACAUGAAGCAAACCAUUCUCAAUGAUAAUACAAAAUACAAAGGAACUGACACUUAGGAAUGUGUAAAAAUGGGCACAAAAAACCCCAAAAAAAAAAAUCAACAAAAUGAAAUGAAAUUAGAUACAUGGCAAUAACACAGGAAAAAACACAAUCCAUUCUCAAUGAGAAAACAAAAUAGAAGGAAUUGGCAAUAAGGAAAAGUAGAAAUUGGUACCAAGAAAAAUAAAAUGGGCGCAAAAAAAGAAAAUGGGUAGAAGAAACAAUUACCACUGAUAAAUUAAAAUGAACAAAACAAAUCAAUUCUCAAUGAGAACACUAAAAGAAGGAAUUGGCACUUGGAAAUGAGGAAAAAUGGGUUUAAAAAAAAAAAAUGACGAUAAUCAACUAAAAUGAAAUUAAGUACAUGGCAACAACACACGGAAAAAAAAAAAUUCCAUCCUCUAUAAAAAGAAAAAGGCUAAAAAAAAAAAAGCACUUAUAAAUAAGGAAAAUGGUAACAAAAACCCCAAAUAAAAAUCAAUAAACAAAGCGAGAAGUGUUUAACGAUGGAGAAAAGGGAUUAAACAAUGAGAUGUAAAAAAGGGCAAAUCUUGAUCCAAACACAGAAAAAUAACUUAAAAAAGGGCUCUAUUUCACGCCAAAGAUGCAUCUUAAAACAAAAUUAACAAAUCAAAUCAUCAAAAUACACAAGAAAAACCAGGAUCAAGACCAAAUUUCCAAACAAAUCAUCAAAAAAUCCUCAAAAAAAGGCCUAAAUUCACGAAGGACCAAAACCCAGAACCCAAAAACACGAUUUUUACACCACCCACCCUCCCGGAAUCAUCGGCAUUGAUGACCACGAACUCGUUCCAUCCCCUCCCCUCCCCUCCCCACCAACCCCCCUCGAUCAAAACCCUAACUUGAUGACGAAGACGACGACGAAGACGAAGAACACCUCCGUCUCCUCCUCCUCUUCCUCUUCACCCCCAAAAUGCGCACCAAACCUCCACCCAAAAACACCGAAACGGAAACCGAAACCGAUUCCAGUUGAUCAAAACCCUAACUUGCCGAAGACGAAGAGCCCCCUUCCUCCUCCUCCUCCUCCGCCUCUUCAACCCCGAAAUGCGCACCAAAUCGCCACCUAAAAACACCGAACAAAAGAGCAAAUGGAGGCCGAAACCGACUCCCCUCCCCUUUUUCCCCUCUACCCCUCCCUUUGCUUCGCCUCUCUCCCACUUCAACGAAGGGCGUUUCUUAAGGUAGAGGUACACGACGACACGGGGAGGACGAGAGCGAGAGCGAGAGAGAGAGAGAGAGAGAGAGAGAGAGAGAGAGGAGAAGCGGAGGGGGAGAGAGUGCGAAGUGGGAAAUAGUAAUAAUCGCAAUAAAGCGAGACGCGGUAAAGAGCAAAAGGACGAAACUACGCAGAGAGAGAGAGAGAGAGCGAGAGAGUGUUUGUGUGGGGUUUUAGAGAGAGAAAAUACAAAAGAAAAAAAUAAUAAUAUUUUAAAUUUUUAAUUAACUUUUUAUUAACUAUUUUUUAUUUAAUUAAUUACUUUUUUAGUGUACACGUCAUCGGAGAUCCGAAGAAACGAGAAUAUGACGUGUGCGUAGGCCAAGGGAAAAAGUAAAAUGUAUAACAAUUAUAUCAUAUUAUCAAUAAUAAAUUAAUUAUUUUUAAAAUAUAUAUAUAUAAUAAAUUUAAAAAAAUUAUUUGAUUGGUCGAAAAAAUCAGUGCCUUCUAAAAUUUUUAUUGUUAUUUUUUAAUAAAAUUGUAUAAUAAAAUAUAUUAUAAUCGAUUUAGCUAUAUAAUAUAGAAUAUAAAAUAUAAAAAUGAAUAAAAUAUUUUUAAUUGUGUUUUAUUACCGGACGUAAUAUUAUCUCUCUGUAUUUUUUCACUAUUUUUAAAAUUUAAAUGGAUAGAAAAAAUAAUUUUUCAACUAAAAAUUAUUUUCCAAGGUUUGAUACUCGUAGUUUUGACCUAUAAGAAGCGAAACACUUUAGUCUAUAAAUAUUAAUUUAUUAUAAAAUUUUAUUUUAAUUUUUUAACUAAUUAUAAUUAAUGAUGCUGUAAUUAUAAAAAAAGUUUAAAAAUUAUAAUAUUAUAUAUCUUAUAGUUUGAGGAUCAGAUGAGUAAUUUAGUAAUAAGAGUUUUAUUUGUAUUAAAUAUUGAAUAAAUUUUUUCAUGCGGUGUGAAAUAUUAAAGAACUGUACUAAGAUAAUAUAAUAAUUUUAUAUUAAAAUAAUAAGCUAGUAUAAAAUAUUUUAAAUUAGAUGUUAUUAUUUUUUAUAAAUAAUUGCUCUAACUAUGACUUUAGAGAUUAAAAAGUAAAAAAAUAAAAAUGUAAAAUCUGCUUCUUUGAGUAUUUUUUGGAAUUUUUUUUUUCUUUUUGCUCUAUUUGUGUGUGUUGAAGGAAAAAUUCUCGAAUACAACAGAUAUAUUAGUGACGUGGCGUAACAAAUCAAUUAAAUGUCUCAUUUUAGAGAUAUAUGUUCCAUCAUGGUUAUUGUAUUUUUAUUUGAAAAUAAGAAAUAUAAUUGACUUGUUAUUGAUGACGUGGUGAAAGUGUGACAAUGUAGAAUUCCUCGUGUUGAAGGGUAUCGUACUAAUUAGGAAGUAGGGUUUGGUAAGAGAAAUUAUUGAGGUGGACCUAUUUUGCAAUAAUGAUAUUUCUAGUGCUUUUCAUUUUUUUGAGGUUAUAAUUAUAAUGAGAUUAAAAAUAGAAUAGAUUAUACACUUGUAUUAAAAUGGUUAGGCAAAUUUGUGUGAAAAUAGGAUAUAAGAAGCUAGUAUAAAUUAUUAAAUAAUACACUUUAAAAUUUAAAAAAAAUACUAUUUAUACAUUCAAAACAUAAGGUGUAAAUUUUAUAUCUUUCCAUCUAAGAAUUAAUUGUGAAAAAAAUAGCCUUUUGUACGAAGGAUAUGUAAUUUACGCUCACUUUUUGGAUAUACAUAUAACAGUGCUAAGAUAUACUAGCAAAGUUUAUAUUUCGAGUGAAUGCGUGUUGCGACUUGAUUGGCACCGUAUAUUAAACGAGAUUUACAUAAUAAUUUCUUGUUAAUUAGGAUUACAUGUAAUAGAGAGGGGAAAAAAAAUUGAAGGAGAAUAAUUAAUAUAAAAAGAAAAUAUGAAUAGUGUGAAAAGUAAAUGUUGAAUGAAAGUUUAUUUAUAUCUAGAAGUUUAUGAAAAUAGGUACAUUUUGGUCCGCAUAUGUUAAGAUGAUACGACAAUAAUUAAGAUGCUACAUCACUUUUAUAUUAUUAAUUUAUCAAUAUUUAAUUAAAAAAUUAGAUUCCGAGACUUAAUAGUAAUAAUUUAAAAAGUUUGAGCCAACAAUUACAACGAAUUAAAGUUUGGGAGAGAAAAUGUAAGGUGUCUCAUAAUUUGAGGACCAAAACUGUAAUUAACCCUAAAAUCUAUAUAGUGCCAAAACCAGUAUUAACACUAAUGACAUCUUGGUGAUUAAUGUAUUAUUAGUAAUACUAAUAUUGACUGAUCAGAGAAUUGAGAGAUGUGGGGAACAUAAAAUUUAGUGACUACAUUGAAUCGUAGUAAAUGUCAACGCGUUACUUUUGUCGUAUCAUAACUGAAUCCUUUAUGGAGAGUACGUGCCACUCCAAAAGGGUCAUACAUGUCGAAUUGGUGACGCUAACCAUUAAUCUCAAAAGCUCGAACUAUUAAAAAUACGCAACUAAUUCUUUUAAAGCGUACAGAUACAACACUCAAGUUUCACGCCACUUCGAAUAUAACUCGACCUAUCCAGCCUCACGCUAUUUCAAACAUAACUCGGUCCAACAUAACUUUCCGCCACAUGGCAGGAUACUAGCCCAAUUAAGCCAACACUACAUGCCACGCGUAGCUUGUAUAACUGUACUUGUACACGUUGGUCUCACUAA
RNAcentral lists this long non-coding RNA (16346 nucleotides) under Ananas comosus (pineapple). Its description in RNAcentral is "long non-coding RNA (ACOM_LNC001613)". The record is from RNAcentral. Lineage: Eukaryota; Viridiplantae; Streptophyta; Magnoliopsida; Poales; Bromeliaceae.